This 620-nucleotide ribosomal RNA is filed under the name Dietzia aurantiaca. RNAcentral describes it as "bacterial SSU rRNA". It matches the Rfam family "Bacterial small subunit ribosomal RNA", at positions 82 to 716 of the family's 1533-position model. The record is from RNAcentral. Lineage: Bacteria; Bacillati; Actinomycetota; Actinomycetes; Mycobacteriales; Dietziaceae. RNAcentral also lists the same sequence under 1 other name.
CGGGGGUACACGAGUGGCGAACGGGUGAGUAACACGUGGGUAAUCUGCCCUGCACUUCGGGAUAAGCCUGGGAAACUGGGUCUAAUACCGGAUAUGAGCUCUGGCCGCAUGGUCUGGGGUUGGAAAGUUUUUCGGUGCAGGAUGAGCCCGCGGCCUAUCAGCUUGUUGGUGGGGUAAUGGCCUACCAAGGCGACGACGGGUAGCCGGCCUGAGAGGGUGAUCGGCCACACUGGGACUGAGACACGGCCCAGACUCCUACGGGAGGCAGCAGUGGGGAAUAUUGCACAAUGGGCGGAAGCCUGAUGCAGCGACGCCGCGUGGGGGAUGACGGUCUUCGGAUUGUAAACCCCUUUCAGUAGGGACGAAGCGCAAGUGACGGUACCUGCAGAAGAAGCACCGGCCAACUACGUGCCAGCAGCCGCGGUAAUACGUAGGGUGCGAGCGUUGUCCGGAAUUACUGGGCGUAAAGAGCUCGUAGGCGGUUUGUCACGUCGUCUGUGAAAUCCUCCAGCUUAACUGGGGGCGUGCAGGCGAUACGGGCAGACUUGAGUACUACAGGGGAGACUGGAAUUCCUGGUGUAGCGGUGAAAUGCGCAGAUAUCAGGAGGAACACCGGUGGC